UACGUAGGGGGGCGAGCGUUGUCCGGAUUCAUUGGGCGUAAAGCGCUUUAAGGCGGUUCGCUAAGUCGGGUGUGAAACCUCCAGGCUCAACCUGGAGACGCCACUCGAUACUGGCGUGACUAGAGUUCGGUAGGGGACCACGGAAUUCCUGGUGUAGCGGUGAAAUGACGCAGAUAUCAGGAGGAACACCAGUGGCGAAGGCGGUGGUCUGGGCCGAUACUGACGCUGUAGAGCGAAAGCGUGGGGAGCGAACAGG
RNAcentral lists this ribosomal RNA (256 nucleotides) under uncultured bacterium. Its description in RNAcentral is "partial 16S ribosomal RNA". It matches the Rfam family "Bacterial small subunit ribosomal RNA", at positions 524 to 776 of the family's 1533-position model. The record is from RNAcentral.